AAACUGAAGAGUUUGAUCAUGGCUCAGAUUGAACGCUGGCGGCAGGCCUAACACAUGCAAGUCGAGCGGCAGCACGGGAAGCUUGCUUCCUGGUGGCGAGCGGCGGACGGGUGAGUAAUGCAUAGGAAUCUGCCCGGUAGUGGGGGAUAACCUGGGGAAACCCAGGCUAAUACCGCAUACGCCCUACGGGGGAAAGCAGGGGCUCUUCGGACCUUGCGCUAUCGGAUGAGCCUAUGUCGGAUUAGCUGGUUGGUGAGGUAAUGGCUCACCAAGGCGACGAUCCGUAGCUGGUCUGAGAGGAUGAUCAGCCACAUCGGGACUGAGACACGGCCCGAACUCCUACGGGAGGCAGCAGUGGGGAAUAUUGGACAAUGGGCGCAAGCCUGAUCCAGCCAUGCCGCGUGUGUGAAGAAGGCUUUCGGGUUGUAAAGCACUUUCAGUGAGGAGGAAGGCUUGAAGGUUAAUACCCUUCAGGAUUGACGUUAC
RNAcentral lists this ribosomal RNA (486 nucleotides) under Synergistales bacterium. Its description in RNAcentral is "bacterial SSU rRNA". It matches the Rfam family "Bacterial small subunit ribosomal RNA", at positions 1 to 478 of the family's 1533-position model. Lineage: Bacteria; Thermotogati; Synergistota; Synergistia; Synergistales. The record is from RNAcentral.